CCUACGGGUGGCUGCAGUGGGGAAUAUUGCACAAUGGGGGCAACCCUGAUGCAGCGACGCCGCGUGAGUGAAGAAGUAUUUCGGUAUGUAAAGCUCUAUCAGCAGGGAAGAAAAUGAUGGUACCUGUCUCAGAACCCCCGGCUAACUCCGUGCCAGCAGCCGCGGUAAUACGUCGGGGGCAAGCGUUCUCCGGAUUUACUGGGUGUAAAGGGAGCGCAGACGGCUGUGCAAGUCUGGAGUGAAAGGCGGGGGCCCAACCCCCGGACUGCUCUUGAAACUGGAAAGCUGGAGUGCAGGAGAGGUAAGUGGAAUUCCUAGUGUAGCGGUGAAAUGCGUAGAGAUUAGGAGGAACACCAGUGGCGAAGGCGGCGUACUGGACGACAACUGACGUUGAGGCUCGAAAGCGUGGGGAGCAAACAGGAUUAGAUACCCCUGUAGUC
Molecule: ribosomal RNA, 440 nt
Filed under: uncultured bacterium
Lineage: Bacteria
Description: partial 16S ribosomal RNA
Rfam family: Bacterial small subunit ribosomal RNA
Source: RNAcentral